CAAUGCAUCUGAUUCCAAAAGCAGAACUUAUGAUGAGACUGUCUUGUUUAGGAUUGCAACUCAGUCAGGUGAAGACACCAAAGCCAAAUGGGCAGCCCAGCAGUCCCAUGUUCCAGUGAGCACCUGACCACCAUCAUGUAAGGAAAGAACAGCGGAUUCUGAAAAUGUGUGCUCAGGAAUGGCCUUUACCUCUGCUGUCCUCUUACUAUGGAUGGGACUGUUCACAUGAAUGGAGGCUGCAGGACUGGAUCCACGGUAACUGAUACAUCUUCUUGGAUUAAUGGAUCGUUAUACAGGAUACCCCUGCAGGCUAAGGUUCUGCUCCUUCCCUACUGGCAAGUUACAGCACGACGAAGGUAUGCAAGUGCCAAAAGCAUCUCUUCUAUCAUGAUUGGUGUCACCCAGCAAAGUGAUGAAAUACCAAGCAACCAUAUCAAGGCUCACUGCCAUCAAAAGCCUGUCGUGCUGACACUGAGAACUAAACAAUAAAACACAAACAUCAUUUCUAUUUCUUUGCACAGAAAGUGAAGUUUUCAUGUUUAUCUAAAGAACAAAAGGAUCCUGAUCCAUAACUAGAGCUGACAUUCAAAAGUACUGAAAUAAAAGUACCACCAAUGUGAAACA
This 624-nucleotide long non-coding RNA is filed under the name Phasianus colchicus (ring-necked pheasant). RNAcentral describes it as "lncRNA (ENSPCLG00000008702.1)". The record is from RNAcentral. Lineage: Eukaryota; Metazoa; Chordata; Aves; Galliformes; Phasianidae.